CUGAUCAGCCAUGCCGCGUGAGUGAAGAAGGCCUUCGGGUUGUAAAGCUCUUUCGCAAGGAAAGAAAACUUAUCUACUAAUACUAGGUGAGGUUGACGGUACCUUGAUAAGAAGCACCGGCUAACUACGUGCCAGCAGCCGCGGUAAUAA
Molecule: ribosomal RNA, 150 nt
Filed under: uncultured ammonia-oxidizing bacterium
Lineage: Bacteria
Description: partial 16S ribosomal RNA
Rfam family: Bacterial small subunit ribosomal RNA
Source: RNAcentral